CUUUCUAUCGAUCCUCUCUACUCGCUAUCUCCCUCACCCUCACUCUUCUCUCGUGGAUCCAUUGGGUGAUGGUGAAUAAGGUGUCUCCCCUGCCCAACUGACCUUGGAGCACAUCCUCCACGGCCGUCCAACCAUGAGGUAAGUGGUGGUUCCCAUCUUCAUUUUCCUCUCAUCUCUCGAUCACCCCCCCUCAUUCUCCCUGCUCCCAAGCUAGAUUCAGCAAGCCCACACUCGGGGGCUAGCUGCUGGCAGUGAGUCGACGCGGAGAAUGACAUGGCAGUGCCUGGAUCGAUGAUGUAGCACAAAGGCCACAUACCGAAGCCCUAGAGAUAAUGAUCAAAGCCUAGUUGGCCCAAAUCGAAGCCCUAGCAGCCUCGACUCUUGGGCUAGACGUCAGGGAGGACUUUUUUUUUGUUUUUUUCCUAAUUUACAGGUGGGGACAUUAUCACCGUCUCUACAAAUGACCAUAAUGCAGAGGCGAGAUCGCUCAGGGCUGCCUCUUUUAAUCAUUGAAAAAGUGUACUGUAGUAGUGUGUGUGGCCACAAUAAUGUAAUAACUUCUACCUUUUUCAUGCAAAGUUCUACCGGAUUAUGUCAUUUACAAAGUAAAAUAGAAAGCUGCCUUCAAAAAUCCGUAACAAGUAUGCACAGAUGUACUCCUUCGGUAUGUCCCUAUUCUUCGGUUAGUAAUUAGAGAGUAAUAAUAUACUCCUUCCAUUCAAAGUUAUAUGAUAUAUUUGUUUUCUAGAUAGAUAGCUUUUUUAGGUACAUACAGUAAAAACAAUACAUCUAGAGAGUCAAAACAGUUUACUCCCGCCGUUCAUGAAAGAAUGCAAAUGUAGAAUCUGUGCUGGUCGAAUUUGCUUCUAUUGAAACAAGUUUAUAAUAAAUAUUAUUAGCAUUAAUGCCAAGUAAAUUUAUUAUAAAAAUAUAUUCUAUAACAAAUCUAAUGGUACUUAUUUUGUACAAAAAAUGUUAAGAUUUUUUGUAUAUAAAUCCAGUCAAAGUUUAAAGUGUUUGACUUCUAAAAAAAUUAUAUUCUUUUAUGGAUGGAGAUAGAUAUAAUUUAGUGCAGAUGAAGU
This 1082-nucleotide long non-coding RNA is filed under the name Sorghum bicolor (sorghum). RNAcentral's name for it is "long non-coding RNA (SBIC_LNC000314)". The record is from RNAcentral. Lineage: Eukaryota; Viridiplantae; Streptophyta; Magnoliopsida; Poales; Poaceae.